GGCUGCCGUACUAGUGGCUAUGGCGCCCGGCUGCUAACCGGAUUGGGGAUCACCCCUCGCAGGUUCGAGUCCUGUCGUAUCCGC
RNAcentral lists this transfer RNA (84 nucleotides) under Actinoplanes siamensis. RNAcentral's name for it is "tRNA-Ser". The record is from RNAcentral. Lineage: Bacteria; Bacillati; Actinomycetota; Actinomycetes; Micromonosporales; Micromonosporaceae.